Molecule: ribosomal RNA, 440 nt
Filed under: uncultured bacterium
Lineage: Bacteria
Description: bacterial SSU rRNA
Rfam family: Bacterial small subunit ribosomal RNA
Source: RNAcentral
CCUACGGGACGCAGCAGUGGGGAAUAUUGGACAAUGGGCGCAAGCCUGAUCCAGCCGUGCCGCGUGAGUGAAGAGGGCCUUAGGGUUGUAAAGCUCUUUCACCGGUGAAGAUAAUGACGGUAACCGGAGAAGAGGCCCCGGCUAACUUCGUGCCAGCAGCCGCGGUAAUACGAAGGGGGCUAGCGUUGUGCGGAAUUACUGGGCGUAAAGCGCGCGUAGGCGGAUAGAUAAGUCAGAGGUGAAAUCCCGGGGCUCAACCCCGGAAUUGCCUUUGAUACUGUUUGUCUUGAGUGCAGAAGAGGUAAGUGGAAUUCCGAGUGUAGAGGUGAAAUUCGUAGAUAUUCGGAGGAACACCAGUGGCGAAGGCGGCUUACUGGUCUGCAACUGACGCUGAGGCGCGAAAGCGUGGGGAGCAAACAGGAUUAGAUACCCGUGUAGUC